Molecule: long non-coding RNA, 1103 nt
Filed under: Homo sapiens (human)
Lineage: Eukaryota; Metazoa; Chordata; Mammalia; Primates; Hominidae
Description: HSALNT0230425
Source: RNAcentral
CUUGGAUCCACAGCCGCAGUUUGGGUGGCUGUAACCCUGCCCAGGAGGGCGGGGCGUUUGCCUGCUUCGUAGAGCAGGAGGUCUGGGUCUGCAGCCACGGUUUGGGCAGCUGCAGCGGCACCCAGGGAGCUACUGCCCCAGCUCAGAAGGGAUGGGGCUCCCACCGGCUCCAUGGAGUGUGCAGCCCACCGCUCUGCCUUCCUGCUGCCAUCAGUAUCUCCAGUUCAACAGUCUUCACACUAAACUGUUAAGCUUGUUCACCUGCGGAGUACUCAGCGGCUGCAGUUCAAGUAUGAGAACCCCUUGGUGGCUGACAUGACUGAAGAGUCCACAAUAGCUACGAACUGUGAAGGAACUUGGGAAAUAGCACCAUGCAGCAGAAAGCAGAAAAAAACAAUGGGCUAGUAAUCAAUAAAAAUGGUUUCUAUUAUCAGUUAAUCCACAUUUUAAGGUAUUUAACCUCCUUGGGCCUCGGCUUCCUCUUUUAAAAUGAAGGGGAUGGAAUACAGUGUAUCUCAGACUUCUGGUUCCAAAAUUUGAUGAGACUAUGCAAUCAGUGGUCUCAAUCAUGAUACUUCUGUUUUAGACUUAAGUUCAAAUGAUGUAUAUAUCUAAUAAGUAAUUUAUCCAGAGACUGCUAACCUGUCAAAAUGGUAUCACUAAAACCACUGAAAUAAUUACUUCAUGGUUCUUAGAUAACAUUGAUGGUUCCAAGGCUCAUCGGAAAGACAACAGGUAUCAGUUACACAAACAUGCCAUCAUAUUGAGGGCUGGGGAGUGUAUGGUGGUGUUUUAUUCACUUUACAAAAUUAGCUACAAAAUUAGCUAGUGCACCUACUUGGGUUUGUCAUAGAUAUCAUAAAACUGUAUCAUACAAAUGGGGGCACCGAAAAAUACUAAAAAACGGCCAAGAGAAACAUAUAGCAUUUUUGAUUUCCUCAUUUCUACAAACUGGAGUUUCUUUUUUUAUUUAUAUAUCACACUGUAAUUCUAUUACAUACAAUAUAAUUGUAUAUUAUGUUCUAAUUCUACUACCUAUUUUAUCUAGUUCACAAAAACGGGAUGCAGGAAAGAUAAGCCAUUUUCAAGACAGGCUGAAUGAG